This 2891-nucleotide unclassified non-coding RNA is filed under the name Leishmania donovani. RNAcentral describes it as "gene:LdHU3.32.3730(CDS-product:RNA-binding_protei n_putative)". Lineage: Eukaryota; Euglenozoa; Kinetoplastea; Trypanosomatida; Trypanosomatidae. The record is from RNAcentral.
GAAACAUAUUUCACUUUGGUGUGUGUGCGUGCGCGUGUCACCGCUGGCCUCGUCUUACACUUCAGCCGACACAUUGUGCGUCUUUCGAAACCCGUGGCCUCUCAUCGACACGUGCCGGUCUCCUUUCGCAGACCGUAACGGAAUCUGCCGCUCCUCCCUCCACAUACCCACAGAACAAUACCGACGGUAGGCAAUGGCCAAGGGCACAGUGAAGCGCAAGGCGACACCGUCAUCCCUGCGCAAAAAGAAGGCGCAGCAGCGCAUUCGCAAGCAGAUACGCACCAAGCUGCAGAAGAAGAAGCCGAGCUGGAAGACGGCGCUUGCGAAGGUGUACACGGGCGGGGCCAACACACUGAAGGACAGGAAGAAGGAUAGCCGCAAGCGCGCCCGCAGCGGUGAGGAUGACUGCGAUGACGAGGAGAACACUUUCAAUUUCAAGCGCGACGGCGUGGACGAGGACGGCGAGGUGCAAAGCGAUGUCGACGAAGAGAAGGAGGAGCGGCUGAAUCAGCGCGACCCGCUCGAGACGCAGUUGUUUCUCAAGAACUUGCCACUCGAUACGAGUGAGGAGGAGCUGAUGACGUACUUCAAAACCCACUUCAGCGCCGUCAAGCGUGUGCUGCUGGUGCGCAACCGUGCGAGCAAGACGCUCUCCGGUACCGGCUUCGUGCACUGCGGCUCUGCGGAGCUGGCGGGCAAGAUAUUUGACUACGCCCAGCAGAACGCGCGUGAGUUGUCGGCGGUAGGACGAGAGGACAUGAAGGCGCAGACCGAGAGCCUUUCUCAUCACCAAGCAAAGCGGCUCAUGCAUAAGAUGCGCACCGACUCCUUCGUUGUACGUGACCCGUUUCUCACGAUGCGCGACACCAGGUUCACGGUGCUGCGCGUGCUAUCGAGAUCGGACACUCAGGAGGCGGUGAGUGCACAGCAGAAGAAGAAGAAGCGCACUAAGGUGGCAGCAGACGAUCCGCGUAACUUGUACCUCUUGCAGGAGGGUUUGGUGGUGCCGGGCUCCGCCGCAGCGAAGGGUCUGCACCCGCGCUACCUGCAGAUGAUCGAGGACGACUAUGCCGCGCGUAAGCAGCAGCUGACUAACAGCAACUACUUUGUUAGCAAGACCCGUCUUAGUGUGCGCAAUCUGCCGCGCACAAUGUCAGAGAAUGACAUGCGCCGCCUCUUUGCUGAGCAGGCGCGAGCAUACCUGAAGAAGCAUCCCGAGGACACAGAAAAAGAUAAAUGGGGCAAGUACGGCCCCAUCCGCAAUGUGAAGCUGCUAAAGGACACGGCUGGCGUCUCGCGCGGGUACGGCUUCAUUGAGUUUGUGAACCACAACGUAGCUCUCAACACACUCCGCAUGCUGAACAACAACCCGACGGUAUUCGGCGAUCAGCGGCGACUUAUGGUCUCCUUCGCUAUCGAGAGCAUGAGCGCAGUGCAGAAGCUCCAGCGCAUGAAGGAGCUGAAGCGCGCACGCUUGGCUCGCGGGUUGUGCGACGGCCGCGCGUCUGCCGUGUCGUCUAACGCAAAGAAAAGCAGAUAGCACUUUUCGGGCGCGUUCAUCGUUCCAGCUUUGAAAGUCGGUGCUGCGGGUUGCUGUUGCUCUGGCGUCAAUCAAGUGCAUAAUGUUAACAAGCACAGGUGAGGAGGGCGAAGGCAAGGAAAAGAUGGAAGCGAAGGCUUGAGGAGGAGGGUGGCGAGGCAUGCACCCCUGGACAUGCUUGCACGCAGACAACGUUUUCUGUAUCGGACGCAACGCCAUGCACGUGCGUGUUGGCGUUUGCGUGUGAUCUGUGCGAAAGCGUGCGCACUUGCACAUGCUCUUGUUUACACCUGCCCUCCCUCUCUCUGCUUCUCGCAUCUCUUUUCCUCUUGCUUGCGUGUGUAUAUCUGUGUUUUUUUCUCUCCUUCUGACGAUGCUCGCCUGUGUGCGAAGGACUUGCCUAGCGUGCGCGCUUGUGUUGUUUUCUCUUUACUCGUGUAAGGCGCUCUGCUCAUCCUCACCCCCUUUUCUCUCUCCUCUCUCGUGGGUUUCGCGUGCGCGUUUUCCCGUCGCAGAGUGCUCUCAUCGUGUGGUGUUGUAGGAUGUGUGCUCACGAAUGCGACUCUCUCUAUCUCUGUCUUGUUUCGUCCAUGGGGGAGGGGAAGUGCACGUGUGCCAGUGUGCGUCGGUGCGGCUGUGCACCUGCCUCUCCUCGAGAGUUGGGAGCAUGUCGAAGCGAAGAGGACACAAUCAGACCAGCGGCCUCUUGCGCCCCUUCUCGGUGGUCGCAAACGGCGACGCACAGAAGGGGUGCAGCACGUGCGUGUAUAUCUCUUCUAAGGCAAACCACAAUAGCCAAAAUGCCCCACCUCACCGUGGCUCUUUGACUGAAAAGGCGAAAGACGCGGUGCCACACCACUUUUGCCUGUGCGCGUGUGCUUGUCUACAUGGACGGUUAAGCGAUACGUGGAUGAGCGCACCUCCGUAGAAGAGAGACAAUGCCGUCGUCUCUCGGCCCCCCAUCUCUUUCUCUCUCCAGUUUCGAGGUGCUCGAACCGCAACGGCGGUCUCCUCUUUUGUGCGGGUGCCCUCUUCCGCGACUAUGGCAGUGUCCUCUCUGUGAAUACACGCGACACUCUCCGCUGCUUUCGCAUCCCCCUCCCCCUCCGCCGUUAUUCACGCCUGCACUCUCUUCUCUAUCGCGCUUCCGUAAUGCGCACCUACGCUCGCCCAUUCCUUCCGACCACCUCGCGCAACGUGCACACACAAUCACACCUUCAUGGCUAUAUAUAUAUAUAUAUAUGCCCAAAUACGCACACGCCCACCUUCUCGUUUGCAUGGGGCGCCUGUGCGUCACAACACUUUCCUUUUGCGCCCCUCCUCUCCCUUCCCCCCUGCCCAACGACUCCAG